This 253-nucleotide ribosomal RNA is filed under the name uncultured bacterium. Its description in RNAcentral is "partial 16S ribosomal RNA". It matches the Rfam family "Bacterial small subunit ribosomal RNA", at positions 524 to 776 of the family's 1533-position model. The record is from RNAcentral.
UACGUAGGAGGCAAGCGUUGUCCGGAAUUAUUGGGCGUAAAGAGCUCGUAGGCGGCUUGUCACGUCGGGUGUGAAAGCCCGGGGCUUAACCCCGGGUCUGCAUUCGAUACGGGCAGGCUAGAGUGUGGUAGGGGAGAUCGGAAUUCCUGGUGUAGCGGUGAAAUGCGCAGAUAUCAGGAGGAACACCGGUGGCGAAGGCGGAUCUCUGGGCCAUUACUGACGCUGAGGGGCGAAAGCGUGGGGAGCGAACAGG